This 246-nucleotide long non-coding RNA is filed under the name Homo sapiens (human). RNAcentral's name for it is "HSALNT0161962". The record is from RNAcentral. Lineage: Eukaryota; Metazoa; Chordata; Mammalia; Primates; Hominidae.
AGAAGGCAGGCAGUUCUCUGCUCUGAGGCUACAAAUGUGGAGGCAGCAGAGCCCAGGGAAGUCAGGUGCCCUGGCCGCUGCCCAUGUACUCCAGCCACUGUCCCGGGGGCAGUGAAUGCUGAGACAGGGUCCAGGUGGAAAGCUGGUAUGGCUUGGAUUUCCCCAGGGCAACCCUUGUCACCAUGUCAUAUUCUGCCAGGCAGCCUGCACCAUCCAACAACAUCUCAGAAAUGGGGACAGUUUGGG